RNAcentral lists this ribosomal RNA (253 nucleotides) under uncultured bacterium. Its description in RNAcentral is "partial 16S ribosomal RNA". It matches the Rfam family "Bacterial small subunit ribosomal RNA", at positions 524 to 776 of the family's 1533-position model. The record is from RNAcentral.
UACGUAGGGUGCGAGCGUUAAUCGGAAUUACUGGGCGUAAAGCGUGCGCAGGCGGCUUUGCAAGACAGAUGUGAAAUCCCCGGGCUUAACCUGGGAACUGCAUUUGUGACUGCAUGGCUGGAGUGCGGCAGAGGGGGAUGGAAUUCCGCGUGUAGCAGUGAAAUGCGUAGAUAUGCGGAGGAACACCGAUGGCGAAGGCAAUCCCCUGGGCCUGCACUGACGCUGAGGCGCGAAAGCCAGGGGAGCGAACGGG